This 439-nucleotide ribosomal RNA is filed under the name uncultured bacterium. Its description in RNAcentral is "partial 16S ribosomal RNA". It matches the Rfam family "Bacterial small subunit ribosomal RNA", at positions 339 to 795 of the family's 1533-position model. The record is from RNAcentral.
CUACGGGAUGCAGCAGUGAGGAAUAUUGCACAAUGGGGGGAACCCUGAUGCAGCAACGCCGCGUGGAGGAUGACGCAUUUCGGUGUGUAAACUCCUUUUAUAUGUCAAGAAAAUGACGGUAGCAUAUGAAUAAGCACCGGCUAACUCCGUGCCAGCAGCCGCGGUAAUACGGAGGGUGCAAGCGUUACUCGGAAUCACUGGGCGUAAAGGACGCGUAGGUGGGUUGGAAAGUCAGGUGUGAAAUCCUACAGCUUAACUGUAGAACUGCACUUGAAACUUCUAAUCUAGAGUAUGGGAGGGGGGGAUGGAAUUAGUGGUGUAGGGGUAGAAUCCGUAGAUAUCACUAGGAAUACCUAAAGCGAAGGCGAUCUCCUGGAACAUUACUGACGCUAAGGCGUGAAAGCGUGGGGAGCAAACAGGAUUAGAUACCCGCGUAGUC